CCAGUUGUCUCUUUCUAUCUUUAUAAGAAGGAGCGGAGGGUCAUUACAAGUGACCCCGGUCUAACCACCGGGAUGUUCAUAACCCUUUGUUGUCCGACUCUGUUGCCUCCGGGGCGACCCUGCCUUCGGGCGGGGGCUCCGGGUGGACACUUCAAACUCUUGCGUAACUUUGCAGUCUGAGUAAACUUAAUUAAUAAAUUAAAACUUUUAACAACGGAUCUCUUGGUUCUGGCAUCGAUGAAGAACGCAGCGAAAUGCGAUAAGUAAUGUGAAUUGCAGAAUUCAGUGAAUCAUCGAAUCUUUGAACGCACAUUGCGCCCCCUGGUAUUCCGGGGGGCAUGCCUGUUCGAGCGUCAUUUCACCACUCAAGCCUCGCUUGGUAUUGGGCAACGCGGUCCGCCGCGUGCCUCAAAUCGACCGGCUGGGUCUUCUGUCCCCUAAGCGUUGUGGAAACUAUUCGCUAAAGGGUGCUCGGGAGGCUACGCCGUAAAACAAACCCAUUUCUAAGGUUGACCUCGGAUCAGGUAGGGAUACCCGCUGAACUUAAGCAUAUCAAAAGCCGGAGGAA
Molecule: ribosomal RNA, 568 nt
Filed under: Cladosporium sp. B10
Lineage: Eukaryota; Fungi; Ascomycota; Dothideomycetes; Cladosporiales; Cladosporiaceae
Description: eukaryotic LSU rRNA
Rfam family: 5.8S ribosomal RNA (bases 203-356)
Source: RNAcentral